AGAAUCUUUUAAGCUUAGACAGAAUAUACUAUCUAUUUAAUUUGUCGAUUAGGUAAAGGGUCAUUUAUGCUUCUAUUUCUGGUGUAAAAAAAAAAAAAAAGAAGAAUUUGACACCUUGUUUUGUACAUGAGCAAUUAGCAUCUCGCUUAUAUUCCAUGUCACCAUUUUAUUAUUCCUUUCAUGAGGAGAAUCACCUAGAGUUCCCAUUUUGCAUUCCUGUAUGAAAAUAAGUUCUUGAAGAUAAUUAAAGACAACAAAUCUUAUCCUUGACAAACUAAUGCAGAUCAAUCAUAAGUUAUUAGCAAUCGCUUUCUUUUGAAAUUUUAACCAUUUGACGCUACUAGUAAGUAGUAAUAUCUGCUUAGACGUAUCAAAUUAUUUUGUCUUGUUGAUCCUUUUUAUAAAAGGCAAAAUCAAAUUGCAGGAUAUAACCUCAUACAAAAAAAAGCAAAUUCAAUAAAUCCGCUUGUUGAUUGCAUGACUAAUAUGUGCUGGUAUUAUUUAGUAGAAUGAUCUGUUUUCCAAACACUACUUGAAAAUGAUCUUUUUUGGGUGCAUUUUAUAUAUCUUUUUGUAUAGUUAUCUUUUAAAAAAAAAUAAUACUAAGAAAAUUGUGUCAUACUAUACAUCUUUAGGUUGAAAAUAUUUGUCUAAAUCUUUUGAACCCUUUUAUUCACUUAUUUUUCAGUAAAAGAAGUUGAUUAAAAUAUAAAAUUGCAUAGCUUAACACGGUUAAUUAAGAGAUAAUGUUUGCAUUAAAUCGUUUAUUAAUGAUCAGCCUUUUUGCUACGACGACAAUUAGGAGAACCUUCAACCAACAUAACAUGCUUCUUUCUUUAAUUAAUUGCAAAUUGAGAGCAACUUUAGGACCAAGAGAUAAGUAAGCCUUAAUAGAUCAAAAUGAAGGACAGUAUACACAACUCUAGGAUUUUUCCACUGAAUUAAAAAAAAAAAUUGGUCAUCUCAGCUUAACGCUUCUAGCUGCGUGCUUAGGCAUUAUCGUUAUUAAAAUUACUUUGACCACUCAUUAGUGUUAAUCAAUCAAAAUAGACAUAAUUUGUGGAUAUUAUUAAGGCUGAAACUUGAAAUUAUGCAAUUGGAAUUUAUUGUUUAUUAGUUUAGGAAUAAAACUUUGCCAAAUUUGUAAAUGCAAACUGCGAUUGGGAAUAUUCUAAAAUGUUCCGGCACUGUAGCUUUUGGAUCUUAUAGUUUGUCUUACACUUUAAUUCAGUAAUUAGUGAGUUAAUUUUCGAAAGAAAAACAAGCAGUAUUUUCUUUAGUAGUAUUUUAAAAAUUGUACUAUAUAAAUUAAUGAAAAUUUAUACAAGUCAAUUUCGAACAAUGGUCUGACAUCCAAAUGCACAGCUCUCGAGAAACACUCUCUCUUUAGCUUCCUUAAUUAUGUUUAAAAGAAGAAGCACACUCCACGAUCAAACCCUUGCCUUAUGCUUAAAAUUUGCGCAAAUCUAUUGAUUCAUUGUGCUAGAACGAAAAUAGGGUAGGCCAGCUAGGGUAAAUCAAUCAAUUUGGUCCUUGUAAAAGCCCAUAAAAAAAUGAACAACCUACUUAAGAUAAAUCUUUUAAGUGAGAAAGCUUUAAGAUUUAAAAGGUUCUUAGGAUAUUAUUAUAAGACAAAUCACUUAUAAUAAACUUCUUAGAUGGUAAGAUUUCAAGUCCCAAAAAAUUUCAAGAUUCCUAAGAUCCUAUCAUAAAAUAAAUUAUUCCGGAUAAACCUCUUAAUACUAAGGCUCCAAGGCUCAAAAUAUUUCAAGAUGUUUAUGAUCCUACCCUAAGACAACCCACUUAAGAUAAAUCUCUUAAGUUUUACGGGCAAGUCAUUUAGAACAAAACUUAUAGGUUCUAAGACUCAUAGGAUCCCAAAAUCAUGGGACUAACCCCAAAAGGUUACAAUACUUCUAGGAUCUUAUUCUAGGAUAAGCUACUUAGGAUAAAACCUCAUAGGUUCCAAGGUUCCUAUGAUCCUAGGAUUUAGGAAAAACACCGUAAGAUUAAGGUAGCGUUUACUUUUUGGAUUGGAUUGGGAAUCCUGAGGAGUGGGAAUCCUAGGAUUGGGAGUGUGGAGUAGGAGUGGGAGUAGGGAGUAGGAGUGGGAGUAGGUUGUUUACUUACACUGGAAUGGAAGCAUGGAAUAAAGAUCAGAAUCCAAUUUAUGUGUUUACUUUGACUUGGAUUGGGAGUAAAUAGUUUCAAAUUAUAAUUUUAUCCUUAUUUAAAGAAUUAUAGUUUUUAAUUACAAAACUAA
Molecule: long non-coding RNA, 2263 nt
Filed under: Citrus x clementina
Lineage: Eukaryota; Viridiplantae; Streptophyta; Magnoliopsida; Sapindales; Rutaceae
Description: Citrus clementina (C. clementina) long non-coding RNA (CCLE_LNC003079)
Source: RNAcentral